CCUACGUGCGGCAGCAGUGGGGAAUAUUGGACAAUGGGGGGAACCCUGAUCCAGCGACGCCGCGUGAGUGAAGAAGUAUUUCGGUAUGUAAAGCACUAUCAGCAGGGAAGAAAGAAAUGACGUUACCUGCCUAAGAAUCCCAGGCUAACUACGUGCCAGCCGCCGCGGUAAUACGUAGGGGGCAAGCGUUAUCCGGAUUUACUGGGUGUAAAGGGAGCGUAGACGGCGAUGCAAGUCUGAAGUGAAAGGCGGGGGCCCAACCCCUGGACUGCUUUGGCAACUGUAUGGCUGGAGUGCAGGAGAGGUAAGUAGAAUUCCUAGUGUAGCGGUGAAAUGCGUAGAUAUUAGGAGGAACACCAGUGGCGAAGGCGGCUUACUGGACUGUAACGGACGUUGAGGCUCGAAAGCGUGGGGAGCAAACAGGAUUAGAUACCCCAGUAGUC
This 443-nucleotide ribosomal RNA is filed under the name uncultured bacterium. RNAcentral's name for it is "partial 16S ribosomal RNA". It matches the Rfam family "Bacterial small subunit ribosomal RNA", at positions 338 to 795 of the family's 1533-position model. The record is from RNAcentral.